UACGUAGGGGGCAAGCGUUGUCCGGAUUUAUUGGGCGUAAAGCGCGUGUAGGCGGCCAGGUAGGUCCGGUUGUGAAAACCCCGAGGCUCAACCUCGGGACGUCGACGGAAACCAUCUGGCUAGAGUCCGGAAGAGGAGAGCGGAAUUCCCCGGGUGUAGCGGUGAAAUGCGCAGAUAAUCGGGAGGAACACCAGAGGCGAAGGCGGC
RNAcentral lists this ribosomal RNA (207 nucleotides) under uncultured bacterium. RNAcentral's name for it is "partial 16S ribosomal RNA". It matches the Rfam family "Bacterial small subunit ribosomal RNA", at positions 524 to 725 of the family's 1533-position model. The record is from RNAcentral.